This 1979-nucleotide ribosomal RNA is filed under the name Bacteroides ovatus. Its description in RNAcentral is "partial 23S ribosomal RNA". It matches the Rfam family "Bacterial large subunit ribosomal RNA", at positions 1 to 1983 of the family's 2925-position model. The record is from RNAcentral. Lineage: Bacteria; Pseudomonadati; Bacteroidota; Bacteroidia; Bacteroidales; Bacteroidaceae.
GGAUAAGGAAAGUAAAUAAGGGCGCAUGGCGGAUGCCUUGGCUCUCGGAGGCGAUGAAGGACGUGAUAAGCUGCGAUAAGCUUUGGGGAGGUGCAAAUGACCUUUGAUCCAGAGAUUUCCGAAUGGGACAACCCAAUAUCUUGAAGAGGUAUUAUCCAACGUUGUUGGAGGCUAACGCAGGGAACUGAAACAUCUUAGUACCUGCAGGAAAAGAAAAUAAACAAUGAUUCCCCCAGUAGUGGCGAGCGAACGGGGAACAGCCCAAACCAUCCAUGUUACGGCAUGGGUGGGGUUGUAGGACUACGCCGUUGCAUGAAGACAUCAGAGAAGAACUUUCUGGAAAGAAAGACCAUAGAGCAUGACAGUUGCGUAUUCGAAUGUUGUCGAAGCAUAGUAGUAUCCUGAGUAGCGCGGAGCACGAGGAAUUCUGCGUGAAUCUGCCGGGACCAUCCGGUAAGGCUAAAUACUCCCGAGAGACCGAUAGCGAACCAGUACCGUGAGGGAAAGGUGAAAAGCACUUCGAACAGAAGAGUGAAAUAGUUCCUGAAACCGUGCGCCUACAAGCGGUCGGAGCUCGUUAAUGAGUGACGGCGUGCCUUUUGCAUAAUGAACCUACGAGUUGCCUUUGCCGGCAAGGUUAAGUGUGACGACACACGUAUCCGAAGCGAAAGCGAGUCUGAAGAGGGCGUAUAGUCGGCAGUGGCAGACGCGAAACCAAGUGAUCUACCCUUGGCCAGGUUGAAGGCUGGGUAACACCAGCUGGAGGACCGCACCAAUAAGCGUUGAAAAGCUUCUGGAUGAGCUGAGGGUAGGGGUGAAAGGCUAAUCAAACUUGGAGAUAGCUCGUACUCCCCGAAAUGCAUUUAGGUGCAGCCUUGCGGGUUACUGAUGUGAGGUAGAGCGACUGAUAAGAUGCGAGGGCUUCACCGCCUAUCAAGUCUUGACAAACUCCGAAUGCGCAUCAGUUCUACCGCAGGAGUGAGGGCAUGGGUGCUAAGGUCCGUGCCCGAGAGGAGAAGAAUCCGGACCACCUGCUAAGGUCCCGAAAUGACAGCUAAGUUAAACUAACGAAGUCUGACUGCUAAGACAGCUAGGAUGUUGGCUUGGAAGCAGCCAUUCAUUUAAAGAGUGCGUAACAGCUCACUAGUCGAGGAGUCGGGCGUGGAUAAUAAUCGGGUAUUAAGUUGUCUACCGAAGCAGUGGGAUCAUUAAUAUGAUCGGUAGGGGAGCAUUCCAGUCAGCGUCGAAGGCGUACCGUGAGGUAUUCUGGAGCGUCUGGAAAAGCAAAUGUAGGUAUAAGUAACGAUAAAGGGGGCGGGAAACCCCCUCGCCGAAAGACUAAGGUUUCCUGAUCAACGCUAAUCGGAUCAGGGUCAGUCGGGUCCUAAGGCUCAGCCGAACGGCGAUGCCGAUGGCAGAAACGGUUAAUAUUCCGUUACUACCUUCAGGAGUGACGUGGAGACGCAGUAGUGACAGUGCCGCCAUCUGACGGAAUAGAUGGUUGAAGGGUGUAGGAGUCGAUCAUGGCAGGCAAAUCCACCAUGAGAUCCGAACCUGACAGUAUGCCGCGUCCUUCGGGACAAGGCAAUAGUGCGCGUAAGCAUGCUGCCGAGAAAAUCCGCUAAACUUAAUCCUGCAGGUACCCGUACCGCAAACGGACACACGUAGUCGGGAUGAAUAUUCUAAGGCGCUUGAGUGAUUCACGGUUAAGGAACUAGGCAAACUGACCCUGUAACUUCGGGAUAAAGGGUCCCUACCCUUUUAUGGGAGGGCGCAGAGAAUCGGUCCAGGCAACUGUUUAACAAAAACACAGGGCUGUGCCAAAUCGAAAGAUCCAGUAUACAGCCUGACACCUGCCCGGUGCUGGAAGGUUAAGAGGAGAUGUCAUCGAUAAGAGAAGCGUUGAAUUGAAGCCCCAGUAAACGGCGGCCGUAACUAUAACGGUCCUAAGGUAGCGAAAUUCCUUGUCGGGUAAGUUC